GGGUUGUGAGGUUAAGCGACUAAGCGUACACGGUGGAUGCCCUGGCAGUCAGAGGCGAUGAAGGGCGUGCUAAUCUGCGAUAAGCGCCGGUAAGGUGAUAUGAACCGUUAUAACCGGCGAUACCCGAAUGGGGAAACCCAGUGUGACUCGUCACACUAUCAUUAACUGAAUCCAUAGGUUAAUGAGGCGAACCGGGGGAACUGAAACAUCUAAGUACCCCGAGGAAAAGAAAUCAACCGAGAUUCCCCCAGUAGCGGCGAGCGAACGGGGAGGAGCCCAGAGCCUGAAUCAGCAUGUGUGUUAGUGGAAGCGUCUGGAAAGGCGCGCGAUACAGGGUGACAGCCCCGUACACAAAAGCGCAUGUGCUGUGAGCUCGAUGAGUAGGGCGGGACACGUGGUAUCCUGUCUGAAUAUGGGGGGACCAUCCUCCAAGGCUAAAUACUCCUGACUGACCGAUAGUGAACCAGUACCGUGAGGGAAAGGCGAAAAGAACCCCGGCGAGGGGAGUGAAAAAGAACCUGAAACCGUGUACGUACAAGCAGUGGGAGCACCCUUUGGGGUGUGACUGCGUACCUUUUGUAUAAUGGGUCAGCGACUUAUAUUCUGUAGCAAGGUUAACCGAAUAGGGGAGCCGGAGGGAAACCGAGUCUUAAUUGGGCGUUAAGUUGCAGGGUAUAGACCCGAAACCCGGUGAUCUAGCCAUGGGCAGGUUGAAGGUUGGGUAACACUAACUGGAGGACCGAACCGACUAAUGUUGAAAAAUUAGCGGAUGACCUGUGGCUGGGGGUGAAAGGCCAAUCAAACCGGGAGAUAGCUGGUUCUCCCCGAAAGCUAUUUAGGUAGCGCCUCGUGAAUUCAUCUCCGGGGGUAGAGCACUGUUUCGGCUAGGGGGCCAUCCCGGCUUACCAACCCGAUGCAAACUGCGAAUACCGGAGAAUGUUAUCACGGGAGACACACGGCGGGUGCUAACGUCCGUCGUGAAGAGGGAAACAACCCAGACCGCCAGCUAAGGUCCCAAAGUCAUGGUUAAGUGGGAAACGAUGUGGGAAGGCCCAGACAGCCAGGAUGUUGGCUUAGAAGCAGCCAUCAUUUAAAGAAAGCGUAAUAGCUCACUGGUCGAGUCGGCCUGCGCGGAAGAUGUAACGGGGCUAAACCAUGCACCGAAGCUGCGGCAGCGACGCUGAUGCGUUGUUGGGUAGGGGAGCGUUCUGUAAGCCUGCGAAGGUGGCCUGUGAGGGUUGCUGGAGGUAUCAGAAGUGCGAAUGCUGACAUAAGUAACGAUAAAGCGGGUGAAAAGCCCGCUCGCCGGAAGACCAAGGGUUCCUGUCCAACGUUAAUCGGGGCAGGGUGAGUCGACCCCUAAGGCGAGGCCGAAAGGCGUAGUCGAUGGGAAACGGGUUAAUAUUCCCGUACUUGGUGUUACUGCGAAGGGGGGACGGAGAAGGCUAUGUUGGCCGGGCGACGGUUGUCCCGGUUUAAGCGUGUAGGUGUGUGUUCCAGGUAAAUCCGGUUCACUUUAACACUGAGGCGUGAUGACGAGGCACUACGGUGCUGAAGCAACAAAUGCCCUGCUUCCAGGAAAAGCCUCUAAGCAUCAGGUAACAUCAAAUCGUACCCCAAACCGACACAGGUGGUCAGGUAGAGAAUACCAAGGCGCUUGAGAGAACUCGGGUGAAGGAACUAGGCAAAAUGGUGCCGUAACUUCGGGAGAAGGCACGCUGACACGUAGGUGAAGUGAUUUACUCAUGGAGCUGAAGUCAGUCGAAGAUACCAGCUGGCUGCAACUGUUUAUUAAAAACACAGCACUGUGCAAACACGAAAGUGGACGUAUACGGUGUGACGCCUGCCCGGUGCCGGAAGGUUAAUUGAUGGGGUCAGCGCAAGCGAAGCUCCUGAUCGAAGCCCCGGUAAACGGCGGCCGUAACUAUAACGGUCCUAAGGUAGCGAAAUUCCUUGUCGGGUAAGUUCCGACCUGCACGAAUGGCGUAAUGAUGGCCAGGCUGUCUCCACCCGAGACUCAGUGAAAUUGAACUCGCUGUGAAGAUGCAGUGUACCCGCGGCAAGACGGAAAGACCCCGUGAACCUUUACUAUAGCUUGACACUGAACAUUGAGCCUUGAUGUGUAGGAUAGGUGGGAGGCUUUGAAGUGUGGACGCCAGUCUGCAUGGAGCCGGCCUUGAAAUACCACCCUUUAAUGUUUGAUGUUCUAACGUGGACCCGUGAUCCGGGUUGCGGACAGUGUCUGGUGGGUAGUUUGACUGGGGCGGUCUCCUCCUAAAGAGUAACGGAGGAGCACGAAGGUUGGCUAAUCCUGGUCGGACAUCAGGAGGUUAGUGCAAUGGCAUAAGCCAGCUUGACUGCGAGCGUGACGGCGCGAGCAGGUGCGAAAGCAGGUCAUAGUGAUCCGGUGGUUCUGAAUGGAAGGGCCAUCGCUCAACGGAUAAAAGGUACUCCGGGGAUAACAGGCUGAUACCGCCCAAGAGUUCAUAUCGACGGCGGUGUUUGGCACCUCGAUGUCGGCUCAUCACAUCCUGGGGCUGAAGUAGGUCCCAAGGGUAUGGCUGUUCGCCAUUUAAAGUGGUACGCGAGCUGGGUUUAGAACGUCGUGAGACAGUUCGGUCCCUAUCUGCCGUGGGCGCUGGAGAACUGAGGGGGGCUGCUCCUAGUACGAGAGGACCGGAGUGGACGCAUCACUGGUGUUCGGGUUGUCAUGCCAAUGGCACUGCCCGGUAGCUAAAUGCGGAAGAGAUAAGUGCUGAAAGCAUCUAAGCACGAAACUUGCCCCGAGAUGAGUUCUCCCUGAGACUUAGAGUCUCCUGAAGGAACGUUGAAGACGACGACGUUGAUAGGCCGGGUGUGUAAGCGCAGCGAUGCGUUGAGCUAACCGGUACUAAUGAACCGUGAGGCUUAACCUUACAACGCCGAAG
This 2927-nucleotide ribosomal RNA is filed under the name Salmonella enterica subsp. enterica serovar Schwarzengrund. Its description in RNAcentral is "23S ribosomal RNA". It matches the Rfam family "Bacterial large subunit ribosomal RNA". The record is from RNAcentral. Lineage: Bacteria; Pseudomonadati; Pseudomonadota; Gammaproteobacteria; Enterobacterales; Enterobacteriaceae.